UACGGGGGGAGCAAGCGUUGUUCGGAUUUACUGGGCGUAAAGGGCGCGUAGGCGGCGUAACAAGUCACUUGUGAAAUCUCCGGGCUUAACCCGGAGCGGCCAAGUGAUACUGUUGUGCUAGAGUGCGGAAGGGGCUACUGGAAUUCUCGGUGUAGCGGUGAAAUGCGUAGAUACUGGGAGGAACACCGGUGGCGAAGGCGGCUACCUGGACCGGUUCUGACGCUGAUGCGCGAAAGCGUGGGUAGCAAACAGG
This 253-nucleotide ribosomal RNA is filed under the name uncultured bacterium. RNAcentral describes it as "partial 16S ribosomal RNA". It matches the Rfam family "Bacterial small subunit ribosomal RNA", at positions 524 to 776 of the family's 1533-position model. The record is from RNAcentral.